This 393-nucleotide ribosomal RNA is filed under the name uncultured bacterium. RNAcentral's name for it is "partial 16S ribosomal RNA". It matches the Rfam family "Bacterial small subunit ribosomal RNA", at positions 523 to 918 of the family's 1533-position model. The record is from RNAcentral.
AUACAAAGGAUGCGAAAGUUAUACGGAUUUAUUGAGUUUAAAGAGUACAUAGGAAAGAUUCCAACUCAGAGAUGCAACCCCGAAGCCUAACUCCGGAACUGCCUUUGACACAGGCACUCUUGAAUGCGGAUGCCGUGGGAGGAAUGAGUAGUGUAGCGGUGAAAUGCAUAGAUAUUACUCAGAACACCGAUUGCGAAGGCAUCUCACGAAUCCGCGAUUGACGCUGAUGCACGAAAGCGUGGGGAUCAAACAGGAUUAGAUACCCUGGUAGUCCACGCAGUAAACGAUGAUGACUAACCGUCGGCGAUAUACAGUCGGUGGCCAAGCGAAAGCGAUAAGUCAUCCACCUGGGGAGUACGUCCGCAAGGUUGAAUCUCAAAUGAAUUGACGGGG